Molecule: transfer RNA, 73 nt
Filed under: Propionibacteriaceae bacterium
Lineage: Bacteria; Bacillati; Actinomycetota; Actinomycetes; Propionibacteriales; Propionibacteriaceae
Description: tRNA-Pro
Source: RNAcentral
CGGAAUGUGGCGCAGCAGGAAGCGCAUGGCGUCCGGGACGCCAAGGCUGCUGGCUCGAGCCCGGCCAUUCCGA